Molecule: ribosomal RNA, 620 nt
Filed under: uncultured bacterium
Lineage: Bacteria
Description: bacterial SSU rRNA
Rfam family: Bacterial small subunit ribosomal RNA
Source: RNAcentral
GAAAGAUGGCUUUGGCUAUCACUCUGGGAUGGACCUGCGGUGCAUUAGCUAGUUGGUAAGGUAACGGCUUACCAAGGCGAUGAUGCAUAGCCGAGUUGAGAGACUGAUCGGCCACAAUGGAACUGAGACACGGUCCAUACUCCUACGGGAGGCAGCAGUAGGGAAUCUUCCACAAUGGGCGCAAGCCUGAUGGAGCAACACCGCGUGAGUGAAGAAGGGUUUCGGCUCGUAAAGCUCUGUUGUUGGAGAAGAACGUGCGUGAGAGUAACUGUUCACGCAGUGACGGUAUCCAACCAGAAAGUCACGGCUAACUACGUGCCAGCAGCCGCGGUAAUACGUAGGUGGCAAGCGUUAUCCGGAUUUAUUGGGCGUAAAGCGAGCGCAGGCGGUUGCUUAGGUCUGAUGUGAAAGCCUUCGGCUUAACCGAAGAAGUGCAUCGGAAACCGGGCGACUUGAGUGCAGAAGAGGACAGUGGAACUCCAUGUGUAGCGGUGGAAUGCGUAGAUAUAUGGAAGAACACCAGUGGCGAAGGCGGCUGUCUGGUCUGCAACUGACGCUGAGGCUCGAAAGCAUGGGUAGCGAACAGGAUUAGAUACCCUGGUAGUCCAUGCCGUAAACGA